This 502-nucleotide ribosomal RNA is filed under the name uncultured bacterium. RNAcentral's name for it is "partial 16S ribosomal RNA". It matches the Rfam family "Bacterial small subunit ribosomal RNA", at positions 29 to 523 of the family's 1533-position model. The record is from RNAcentral.
AUUGAACGCUGGCGGAAUGCUUGACACAUGUAAGUCGAACGGCAGCACGGGUGCUUGCACCUGGUGGCGAGUGGCGAACGGGUGAGUAAUACAUCGGAACGUACCCAGUCGUGGGGGAUAACGUAGCGAAAGUUACGCUAAUACCGCAUACGUCCUGAGGGAGAAAGCGGGGGACCGUAAGGCCUCGCGCGAUUGGAGCGGCCGAUGGCGGAUUAGCUAGUUGGUGGGGUAAAGGCCUACCAAGGCGACGAUCCGUAGCGGGGCUGAGAGGACGGCCCGCCACACUGGAACUGAGACACGGUCCAGACUCCUACGGGAGGCAGCAGUGGGGAAUUUUGGACAAUGGGCGAAAGCCUGAUCAAGCCAUUCCGCGUGAGUGAAGAAGGCCUUCGGGUUGUAAAGCUCUUUCGGCAGGGAAGAAACGGCUUGGGAUAAUACCCCGGGCUAAUGACGGUACCUGAAGAAGAAGCACCGGCUAACUACGUGCCAGCCGCCGCCGUAA